Long non-coding RNA from Caenorhabditis elegans, 195 nucleotides. Ensembl annotates it as ncRNA. Its record names the gene linc-12. The record is from Ensembl. NCBI's taxonomy places the organism in Eukaryota, Metazoa, Nematoda, Chromadorea, Rhabditida, Rhabditidae.
GAAAUGGUUCCGUGGAGGUUUCUUCGUGAAAACUAAAAAAGCUACGAACACUCCAUACGGUCAUUUGAGUCUCAACCUUGCCAUCGAGGAGGGAUACAAUAAAACUUGGUUCAGAGGAAAGUGUCUGUGGAUAUUUUGAAAGUUCUACCGUUCUCGUUUUUUAUUUUGUUUAUUAAUAAAUUUGUGUUGAAAAAU